This 294-nucleotide long non-coding RNA is filed under the name Salarias fasciatus (jewelled blenny). RNAcentral describes it as "lncRNA (ENSSFAG00005001971.1)". The record is from RNAcentral. Lineage: Eukaryota; Metazoa; Chordata; Actinopteri; Blenniiformes; Blenniidae.
CCGAGAAGCGGUCGGCACGGUGCGCGGACAGCAACAGAUACGAGGGCGAAGACCGUCCGUACAAACUCCUCCCGGGCAGGUGAAUGUCUUCACCGCUGAUACUGGCAGGUUGCGGCGGCGGCCGGCCGGUGAAAGCGACGGUUAUCUUUCCCUCUUUAACACGGAGACAAGGUGGAAAUGUGUAAAGGUUCACCAUAAAGCUUUCAGACCGUCUCUGCUGCAGCUCACUGGCCUUGAUGGGAUACUCGUAUCAUUUGCAGCGCUUCAAAUUGAACAAGCAGAGUUCCCUUCUAG